GAGUUUGAUCCUGGCUCAGGAUGAACGCUGGCGAGAUGCCUUAUACAUGCAAGUCGUACGAGAUUAAAAUCAAGUGGCGGACGGGUGAGUAACACGUAAGAAUUUGCCUUUAGGAGGGGGACAACAACUGGAAACGGUUGCUAAUACCCCAUAUGCUUUCGAGUGAAAUGGAUUUUUUCGCCUAAAGAGAAGCUUGCGGCUGAUUAGCUUGUUGGUAGAGUAAUAGCCUACCAAGGCGACGAUCAGUAUCUGGUUUGAGAGGACGAUCAGACACACUGGAACUGAGACACGGUCCAGACUCCUACGGGAGGCAGCAGUAGGGAAUUUUCCGCAAUGGGCGAAAGCCUGACGGAGCAAUCUCGCGUGAGGGAUGACGGCCUAUGGGUUGUAAACCUCUUUUUUCAGGGAGGAAUAAGUGACGUGUACCUGAAGAAUAAGCAUCGGCUAACUCCGUGCCAGCAGCCGCGGUAAGACGGAGGAUGCAAGUGUUAUCCGGAAUCACUGGGCGUAAAGCGUCUGUAGGUGGUUUAAUAAGUCAACUGUUAAAUCUUAAAGCUUAACUUUGAAAUCGCAGUCGAAACUAUUAGACUAGAGUAUAGUAGGGGUAAAGGGAAUUUCCAGUGGAGCGGUGAAAUGCGUAGAGAUUGGAAAGAACACCGAUGGCGAAGGCACUUUACUGGGCUAUUACUAACACUCAGAGACGAAAGCUAGGGUAGCAAAUGGGAUUAGAUACCCCAGUAGUCCUAGCCGUAAACAAUGGAUACUAGAUGUUGAACAGAUCGACCUGUGCAGUAUCAAAGCUAACGCGUUAAGUAUCCCGCCUGGGAAGUAUGCUCGCAAGAGUGAAACUCAAAGGAAUUGA
RNAcentral lists this ribosomal RNA (862 nucleotides) under uncultured bacterium. RNAcentral describes it as "bacterial SSU rRNA". It matches the Rfam family "Bacterial small subunit ribosomal RNA", at positions 9 to 913 of the family's 1533-position model. The record is from RNAcentral.